GCACAGAUGGUGUAACGGCAACAUCACGGUCUCCAAAACCGUUGUUCGAGGUUCAAAUCCUCGUCUGUGCG
This 71-nucleotide transfer RNA is filed under the name Stenomitos rutilans HA7619-LM2. RNAcentral's name for it is "tRNA-Trp". It matches the Rfam family "tRNA". Rfam says of the family: Transfer RNA (tRNA) molecules are approximately 80 nucleotides in length. Their secondary structure includes four short double-helical elements and three loops (D, anti-codon, and T loops). Lineage: Bacteria; Bacillati; Cyanobacteriota; Cyanophyceae; Leptolyngbyales; Leptolyngbyaceae. RNAcentral also lists the same sequence under 22 other names. The record is from RNAcentral.